Molecule: ribosomal RNA, 1247 nt
Filed under: Candidatus Phytoplasma cynodontis
Lineage: Bacteria; Bacillati; Mycoplasmatota; Mollicutes; Acholeplasmatales; Acholeplasmataceae
Description: bacterial SSU rRNA
Rfam family: Bacterial small subunit ribosomal RNA
Source: RNAcentral
GAAACGACUGCUAAGACUGGAUAGGAGAUAAGAAGGCAUCUUUUUAUUUUUAAAAGACCUUUUUCGAAAGGUAUACUUAAAGAGGGGCUUGCGGCACAUUAGUUAGUUGGUAGGGUAAAAGCCUACCAAGACUAUGAUGUGUAGCUGGACUGAGAGGUUGAACAGCCACAUUGGGACUGAGACACGGCCCAAACUCCUACGGGAGGCAGCAGUAGGGAAUUUUCGGCAAUGGAGGAAACUCUGACCGAGCAACGCCGCGUGAACGAUGAAGUAUUUCGGUAUGUAAAGUUCUUUUAUUGAAGAAGAAAAAAUAGUGGAAAAACUAUCUUGACGAUAUUCAAUGAAUAAGCCCCGGCAAACUAUGUGCCAGCAGCCGCGGUAAUACAUAGGGGGCGAGCGUUAUCCGGAAUUAUUGGGCGUAAAGGGUGCGUAGGCGGUUUGGUAAGUCUAUAGUUUAAUUUCAGUGCUUAACACUGUUUUGCUAUAGAAACUAUCAGACUAGAGUGAGAUAGAGGCAAGUGGAAUUCCAUGUGUAGCGGUAAAAUGCGUAAAUAUAUGGAGGAACACCAGAGGCGUAGGCGGCUUGCUGGGUCUUUACUGACGCUGAGGCACGAAAGCGUGGGGAGCAAACAGGAUUAGAUACCUUGGUAGUCCACGCCGUAAACGAUGAGUACUAAGUGUCGGGGAAACUCGGUACUGAAGUUAACACAUUAAGUACUCCGCCUGAGUAGUACGUACGCAAGUAUGAAACUUAAAGGAAUUGACGGGACUCCGCACAAGCGGUGGAUCAUGUUGUUUAAUUCGAAGAUACACGAAAAACCUUACCAGGUCUUGACAUACUCUGCAAAGCUAUAGCAAUAUAGUGGAGGUUAUCAGGGAUACAGGUGGUGCAUGGUUGUCGUCAGCUCGUGUCGUGAGAUGUUAGGUUAAGUCCUAAAACGAGCGCAACCCUUGUCACUAGUUGCCAGCAUGUUAUGAUGGGCACUUUAGUGAGACUGCCAAUGAAAAAUUGGAGGAAGGUGAGGAUCACGUCAAAUCAUCAUGCCCCUUAUGAUCUGGGCUACAAACGUGAUACAAUGGCUGUUACAAAGAGUAGCUAAAACGCGAGUUUAUAGCCAAUCUCAUAAAAGCAGUCUCAGUUCGGAUUGAAGUCUGCAACUCGACUUCAAGAAGUUGGAAUCGCUAGUAAUCGCGAAUCAGCAUGUCGCGGUGAAUACGUUCUCGGGGUUUGUACACACCGCCCGUCA